UUGACGGAGAGUUUGAUCCUGGCUCAGGACGAACGCUGGCGGCGGGCCUAACACAUGCAAGUCGAACGCACUCGACCUUCGGGUCACAUGAGUGAGUGGCGAACGGGUGAGUAACACGUGAGAAACCUGCCCCGAAGACUGGAAUAACCCGAGGAAACUCGGACUAAUACCGGAUACCCCCAACUGGUCGCAUGGCCGGUUGAGGAAAUGCUCAGGCGCUUCGGGAGGGUCUCACGGCCUAUCAGCUUGUUGGUGAGGUAACGGCUCACCAAGGCAUCGACGGGUAGCUGGUCUGAGAGGA
This 301-nucleotide ribosomal RNA is filed under the name Acidimicrobiaceae bacterium. Its description in RNAcentral is "partial 16S ribosomal RNA". It matches the Rfam family "Bacterial small subunit ribosomal RNA", at positions 1 to 300 of the family's 1533-position model. The record is from RNAcentral. Lineage: Bacteria; Bacillati; Actinomycetota; Acidimicrobiia; Acidimicrobiales; Acidimicrobiaceae.